UCAAAUGCAGCGACGAGGAGAGUAGUCUUCACCAACCAAUCUCAGGGAGUCCCGAAAAGUGAGAAGGGAUAUUGGCAAUGAAGUCGAAAGUAACCUCCAAGCAGUAAAUGCGAUUUAUGAGUGUUUACGGUGGACACACCUUACAGUGUUAGAGCAUCGCCUAAGGGCUGUGCUUGAAGAGGUAGUUGGGACAACAGCCAGCUACAACAUAGGUGGUACCGCGCAGAAGCGUCCUUGAU
RNAcentral lists this non-coding RNA (239 nucleotides) under Lentilactobacillus curieae. RNAcentral's name for it is "Lactobacillus curieae T-box sequence". It matches the Rfam family "T-box leader". Rfam says of the family: Uncharged tRNA acts as the effector for transcription antitermination of genes in the T-box leader family. Lineage: Bacteria; Bacillati; Bacillota; Bacilli; Lactobacillales; Lactobacillaceae. The record is from RNAcentral.